CGGAGGAGGAGGAGGAGGAGGAAGAGGCGGAGGCGGAGGACGCCGCGAAAUUCGCCGACGCGACGAACAAGGACGGACUCGGGCAGCGCUCGAGCGCGUACGACGAGGAAGAGACUCGCGGGGGAUGCGUGCUCGGCGGUGGACAGAGAACGAUUGAGCGUUCGCGUGGAGCGAGCGAGCGAGCCAGCGCACCUGACCAGUCCCUGACAGCGGGGCGAGGGGUUGAAAACCGGCGGGUGGCAGGACGGUCGGUCGGUCGGUCGGUGGGAAGCGGCAUGGUUGGCGGCUCGGCGAUGCGGGGGGGCCAGGAGGGGACAAGAGAGUCCGUUCGGUGUGGAGGGGCGACGGAGAGCACGAUGCACAGCACAGCGCGGCUCGGAGCUGCUCGGCUCGGCGCGGCGCGGAGCGGCGCGACGCGACGCGGCGGCAUUGGGGGUGGAAAAGGUGGGGAUCGGGGCGGAGGGCGAGGCGCAAGUCUGCGGUACCCGAGAGAAACGCGAGAGCCCGUCGCUCCUGCGGGAGUGCGACGGAGAACGAGAGCGUUCGUUUCCCGCGGGAGCAAGGAAGACUUCCCUCGGCGGCCGGACGAGAACAGAAAUACGGUCUGCGCGGAAACGAACGAGACGGAACGGAGACGACGAAGAGCGGGAACGGGUUCGGCCACGGACUGACGAAGACGGAUGCAAGGUUCGCGAGAAAACCGGAAAGGACAGGCCCGAUCUACCGUCGUCGGCGCGACAAAGGGAAGCUUCGUUACAUGCGAGCGUGACGUCGACGAACGCCUCGGUUUGCAAAAGUUGGUGAAAAACCGACGUCAUGUUCGACUGGUAGUUGUUCCAGCGCAGGCAGUAGUGCUGCCCGGCCAUGCCGCCGCUACAACAAAAACACCGGGAGAUCCGUUCAGUUACGUUUCGUCUUCCCCCCACCACCCCGCCGCGCCGCGCCGCACACAGUGCUCCUCUCUCUCGCUUCCUACAUUCGUCGAAAAGUCAUCGAAGAAGACGACGACGACGACGACGACGACGACUCUUCUCGUACCACAUCCCUUCGCGCGCAAGCAUACACACGCAUAUGGCUGUGCAUAUAGUAUAUAUAUACAUAGGCACGUACACACGUUUUUUUAACAGGCUUAAACAAAAAAAAACAAAACACACACGACACGAGACACGAGACACGCCGUUUCCUCGGUUGCCCUUCAGCCUUCAAGAUCGAUCUGCAAAGCGGGAUAGUACCUGUAGUGCACGCCCCAAUAACGAUCUGUCUCCAUUAAAUAUUCUCUAGUUUUCUUUCUCGCCGCACGGUCAGCCGAGAAGUUAUCGGUGACGUUUACACACACACACGAGGGCGAGGCGAGUCCUAGAUAAAAGGU
This is a long non-coding RNA of Megalopta genalis, 1369 nucleotides long. RefSeq lists it as uncharacterized. The record is from RefSeq and is a predicted model, not a curated record. NCBI's taxonomy places the organism in Eukaryota, Metazoa, Arthropoda, Insecta, Hymenoptera, Halictidae.